This 337-nucleotide long non-coding RNA is filed under the name Homo sapiens (human). RNAcentral describes it as "HSALNT0221530". Lineage: Eukaryota; Metazoa; Chordata; Mammalia; Primates; Hominidae. The record is from RNAcentral.
CCGGUGUGCAGGGCCACACCAGUCCUCAGAGCCAGUCUGUGGGUCCAGCCUGUGGGUCUGUCGGGAGAUUGCCUGACUCCUCAGCUCUGAGGAGGAGAUGGCCCAGGGAGCUACAGCAGGGACAAAGGUGAGAGGCACAGAGGGAGAUCAGGAAGAGGUGGGACGGGGACAGGAGGCAGAGAGCAGCAGGGGUUUUGCUUUAUUAGACUUAAUCAACACAGCCUCUGUGACUGAAUGGCCACUCUUUGUCGGACACUCAGAUAGGAGCCAUGGGCAGCACAAAGAUGCAUGACCUUUCUACUUGGGGAGCGUGCCGCCUACCCCAAGUGCAUGCAGC